Molecule: ribosomal RNA, 427 nt
Filed under: uncultured bacterium
Lineage: Bacteria
Description: partial 16S ribosomal RNA
Rfam family: Bacterial small subunit ribosomal RNA
Source: RNAcentral
UGGGGAAUAUUGCACAAUGGGCGCAAGCCUGAUGCAGCCAUGCCGCGUGUAUGAAGAAGGCCUUCGGGUUGUAAAGUACUUUCAGCGGGGAGGAAGGCGAUAAGGUUAAUAACCUUGUCGAUUGACGUUACCCGCAGAAGAAGCACCGGCUAACUCCGUGCCAGCAGCCGCGGUAAUACGGAGGGUGCAAGCGUUAAUCGGAAUUACUGGGCGUAAAGCGCACGCAGGCGGUCUGUCAAGUCGGAUGUGAAAUCCCCGGACUCAACCUGGGAACUGCAUUCGAAACUGGCAGGCUAGAGUCUUGUAGAGGGGGGUAGAAUUCCAGGUGUAGCGGUGAAAUGCGUAGAGAUCUGGAGGAAUACCGGUGGCGAAGGCGGCCCCCUGGACAAAGACUGACGCUCAGGUGCGAAAGCGUGGGGAGCAAACA